Molecule: ribosomal RNA, 459 nt
Filed under: uncultured bacterium
Lineage: Bacteria
Description: partial 16S ribosomal RNA
Rfam family: Bacterial small subunit ribosomal RNA
Source: RNAcentral
CUACGGGACGCUGCAGUAAGGAAUAUUGCGCAAUGGAGGCAACUCUGACGCAGCCAUGCCGCGUGCAGGAAGAAGGCCUUAUGGGUCGUAAACUGCUUUUAUUUAGGAAUAAACCCCCGAACGUGUUCGGGGCUGAAGGUACUAAACGAAUAAGCACCGGCUAACUCCGUGCCAGCAGCCGCGGUAAUACGGAGGGUGCAAGCGUUAUCCGGAUUUAUUGGGUUUAAAGGGUGCGCAGGCGGGCUAUUAAGUCAGUGGUGAGGUCCCGGGGCUCAACUCCGGAACUGCCAUUGAUACUGAUAGUCUUGAGUUUGGUUGAAGUGGGCGGAAUGUAGCAUGUAGCGGUGAAAUGCAUAGAUAUGCUACAGAACACCAAUCGCGAAGGCAGCUCACUAAGCCAAAACUGACGCUCAUGCACGAAAGCGUGGGGAUCAAACAGGAUUAGAUACCCUAGUAGUC